This 497-nucleotide ribosomal RNA is filed under the name uncultured bacterium. RNAcentral describes it as "partial 16S ribosomal RNA". It matches the Rfam family "Bacterial small subunit ribosomal RNA", at positions 28 to 507 of the family's 1533-position model. The record is from RNAcentral.
GAUGAACGCUGGCGGCGUGCCUAAUACAUGCAAGUCGAGCGAACAGAUAAGGAGCUUGCUCCUUUGACGUUAGCGGCGGACGGGUGAGUAACACGUGGGUAACCUACCUAUAAGACUGGAAUAACUCCGGGAAACCGGGGCUAAUGCCGGAUAACAUUUAGAGCCGCAUGGUUCUAAAGUGAAAGAUGGUUUUGCUAUCACUUAUAGAUGGACCCGCGCCGUAUUAGCUAGUUGGUAAGGUAACGGCUUACCAAGGCAACGAUACGUAGCCGACCUGAGAGGGUGAUCGGCCACACUGGAACUGAGACACGGUCCAGACUCCUACGGGAGGCAGCAGUAGGGAAUCUUCCGCAAUGGGCGAAAGCCUGACGGAGCAACGCCGCGUGAGUGAUGAAGGUCUUCGGAUCGUAAAACUCUGUUAUUAGGGAAGAACAAAUGUGUAAGUAACUGUGCACGUCUUGACGGUACCUAAUCAGAAAGCCACGGCUAACUACGUG